RNAcentral lists this transfer RNA (85 nucleotides) under Pseudomonas phage PE09. RNAcentral's name for it is "tRNA-Tyr". Lineage: Duplodnaviria; Heunggongvirae; Uroviricota; Caudoviricetes; Vandenendeviridae. The record is from RNAcentral.
GCCGACUAAAGAGUUGCUGGGACAACUAGGUGGCUGUAAACCACUGGCCUCUGGAUAUGUGGUUCGAUUCCAUUAGGCGGCACCA